GGUAUAGCUCAAGUGGUAGAGCGCAUGCUUAGCAUGCACAAGGCCCUGGGUUCAAUCCCUAGUACC
RNAcentral lists this transfer RNA (66 nucleotides) under Camelus bactrianus (Bactrian camel). It matches the Rfam family "tRNA". From Rfam's summary of the family: Transfer RNA (tRNA) molecules are approximately 80 nucleotides in length. The record is from Rfam by way of RNAcentral. Lineage: Eukaryota; Metazoa; Chordata; Mammalia; Artiodactyla; Camelidae. RNAcentral also lists the same sequence under 2 other names.